ACGAACGCCGGCGGCGUGCCUAAUACAUGCAAGUCGAACGAACUCUGGUAUUGAUUGGUGCUUGCAUCAUGAUUUACAUUUGAGUGAGUGGCGAACUGGUGAGUAACACGUGGGAAACCUGCCCAGAAGCGGGGGAUAACACCUGGAAACAGAUGCUAAUACCGCAUAACAACUUGGACCGCAUGGUCCGAGCUUGAAAGAUGGCUUCGGCUAUCACUUUUGGAUGGUCCCGCGGCGUAUUAGCUAGAUGGUGGGGUAACGGCUCACCAUGGCAAUGAUACGUAGCCGACCUGAGAGGGUAAUCGGCCACAUUGGGACUGAGACACGGCCCAAACUCCUACGGGAGGCAGCAGUAGGGAAUCUUCCACAAUGGACGAAAGUCUGAUGGAGCAACGCCGCGUGAGUGAAGAAGGGUUUCGGCUCGUAAAACUCUGUUGUUAAAGAAGAACAUAUCUGAGAGUAACUGUUCAGGUAUUGACGGUAUUUAACCAGAAAGCCACGGCUAACUACGUGCCAGCAGCCGCGGUAAUACGUAGGUGGCAAGCGUUGUCCGGAUUUAUUGGGCGUAAAGCGAGCGCAGGCGGUUUUUUAAGUCUGAUGUGAAAGCCUUCGGCUCAACCGAAGAAGUGCAUCGGAAACUGGGAAACUUGAGUGCAGAAGAGGACAGUGGAACUCCAUGUGUAGCGGUGAAAUGCGUAGAUAUAUGGAAGAACACCAGUGGCGAAGGCGGCUGUCUGGUCUGUAACUGACGCUGAGGCUCGAAAGUAUGGGUAGCAAACAGGAUUAGAUACCCUGGUAGUCCAUACCGUAAACGAUGAAUGCUAAGUGUUGGAGGGUUUCCGCCCUUCAGUGCUGCAGCUAACGCAUUAAGCAUUCCGCCUGGGGAGUACGGCCGCAAGGCUGAAACUCAAAGGAAUUGACGGGGGCCCGCACAAGCGGUGGAGCAUGUGGUUUAAUUCGAAGCUACGCGAAGAACCUUACCAGGUCUUGACAUACUAUGCAAAUCUAAGAGAUUAGACGUUCCCUUCGGGGACAUGGAUACAGGUGGUGCAUGGUUGUCGUCAGCUCGUGUCGUGAGAUGUUGGGUUAAGUCCCGCAACGAGCGCAACCCUUAUUAUCAGUUGCCAGCAUUAAGUUGGGCACUCUGGUGAGACUGCCGGUGACAAACCGGAGGAAGGUGGGGAUGACGUCAAAUCAUCAUGCCCCUUAUGACCUGGGCUACACACGUGCUACAAUGGAUGGUACAACGAGUUGCGAACUCGCGAGAGUAAGCUAAUCUCUUAAAGCCAUUCUCAGUUCGGAUUGUAGGCUGCAACUCGCCUACAUGAAGUCGGAAUCGCUAGUAAUCGCGGAUCAGCAUGCCGCGGUGAAUACGUUCCCGGGCCUUGUACACAC
This 1395-nucleotide ribosomal RNA is filed under the name Lactiplantibacillus plantarum. RNAcentral describes it as "bacterial SSU rRNA". It matches the Rfam family "Bacterial small subunit ribosomal RNA", at positions 29 to 1390 of the family's 1533-position model. Lineage: Bacteria; Bacillati; Bacillota; Bacilli; Lactobacillales; Lactobacillaceae. The record is from RNAcentral.